CAGUAGCCGCGGGAAUACGAACUGUCCGAACGUUAUUCGGAAUCACUGGGCUUAAAGCGCGUGUAGGCGGGCCGCCACGUCGGCUGCUGAAAUCCCCCGGCUCAACCGGGGAACGGGCACCGAUACGAGCGGCCUGGAGGGGGGUAGGGGGGACUGGAACUUCCGGUGGAGCGGUGAAAUGCGUUGAGAUCGGAAGGAACGCCCGUGGCGAAAGCGAGUCCCUGGACCCUUUCUGACGCUGAGACGCGGAAGCCAGGGGAGCGAACGGGAUUAGAUACCCCGGUAGUCCCUGUCUCUUAUA
This 301-nucleotide ribosomal RNA is filed under the name uncultured bacterium. RNAcentral's name for it is "partial 16S ribosomal RNA". It matches the Rfam family "Bacterial small subunit ribosomal RNA", at positions 509 to 807 of the family's 1533-position model. The record is from RNAcentral.